Molecule: long non-coding RNA, 208 nt
Filed under: Drosophila guanche
Lineage: Eukaryota; Metazoa; Arthropoda; Insecta; Diptera; Drosophilidae
Source: RNAcentral
UUCUGUCAUGUUCUCCAAAUUUACAAAAAACUCAAAUAAAAUGCUUUGCAUUUUUGUACAUUUUUUGCCCGUUCUUUGGGAACCAUAUUGAUGGCAUUUUUAUUAUGCCCCAGUCGUGUGCUACGAAUUUAUUUGAAUUGAGGGAGGAGAGCAUCAGAACACGGACAGGACGGACACGACAGGGUCUGGUCUGCGAAAUGGUUUUCAU